CCCUUAGAUGUUCGGGGCCGCACGCGCGCUACACUGAAGGAAUCAGCACGUCUUUCUCCUUGUCCGAAAGGACUGGGUAACCCGCUGAACCUCCUUCGUGCUAGGGAUUGGGGCUUGUAAUUCUUCCCCAUGAACGAGGAAUUCCUAGUAAGCGCGAGUCAUCAGCUCGUGCUGAUUACGUCCCUGCCCUUUGUACACACCGCCCGUCGCUCCUACCAAUUGAGUGAUCCGGUGAGUAAUUCGGACUGGAGCAGUGUUCAGUUCCUGAACGUUGCAUCGGAAAGUUUAGCAAACCUUAUCACUUAGAGGAAGGAGAAGUCGUAACA
This 326-nucleotide ribosomal RNA is filed under the name uncultured eukaryote. Its description in RNAcentral is "partial 18S ribosomal RNA". It matches the Rfam family "Eukaryotic small subunit ribosomal RNA", at positions 1470 to 1796 of the family's 1831-position model. The record is from RNAcentral.